This is a microRNA precursor of Caenorhabditis elegans, 65 nucleotides long. The record is from Ensembl. Lineage: Eukaryota; Metazoa; Nematoda; Chromadorea; Rhabditida; Rhabditidae.
GUAAGUGGUUUUUGUAGAUCAAAAUAGUUAAGAAAUUUUUUGAUCUACAAUUUUCGCACUUACAG